RNAcentral lists this ribosomal RNA (1682 nucleotides) under Triticum aestivum (bread wheat). Its description in RNAcentral is "partial small subunit ribosomal RNA". The record is from RNAcentral. Lineage: Eukaryota; Viridiplantae; Streptophyta; Magnoliopsida; Poales; Poaceae.
CACCAAUUCUUCUUCUUCUUCUUCUUCUUCUUCUUCUCUCCUAUAGGGAGUUUUCUUUUUCUUUUUCUGGACCUGGACCUGGACCUCACCCUCGGUACCGCCGGCGGCAGGUGGAGGUGGAGGUAAUGGAGGAGGCAGGUACAGGCGGCCGAGCGGCUCGGCCGGAGAAGAGGAGCGGCACCGCGAGGGAGGGCGGAGACGAGGGCGGGCAGGCGGAGGCGAGGAGGGAGGGCCGGGGGUGGAGGGUGGAGUGGCGGCUGCCGUGUCUACUCAGCCCUAAGCACCACCAGUGGAAGAUGUUCGACCACGGGAACCUCCUGGGGGCGCGUCUCCAGCGGCGCGUGGAGGUUAAGGAGGUCCCUGCGCUGUACCUGUAUGUGCCAGCGUAGAUGUACUUGGUCGUCCCCUAGUUGCGAGUCAUGUCACCAGGCGCGUUUCUACGUUAUCGCAUGCGCCUGACCGAGUCCUCUCUGGGAGCGAAGAGACUAUAUGAGCAGGUCUAAAGCGGUCGCGAUUCACCCGUACGAAAAGGAGCCGAGUUUGACGCGAUGUUUGUUAGAGAACAAGUCAACCUUCCUCCCUCAACAGUAGAAGGAGACCACCUUGGAUCGUACGCGCGAAGUGGUGACUGGGGUAGCCUCACCUCCCUCUUCGAACUUCGAUCCUUUGCGGAACUUUGGCUUCGUGGACCUCUAUGGAGACUUCCUGCUUUCGAAAACGAGGAACUACAAUCCUUACUGAUACUUACCCUGUAACCCGUAAAACUUCCUCGGUUCUCCGGAUUGCACCUGGCGAAGUCUUCGUGAAGUAAACCCGACAGCCUCGUCCUCUAACUAAGCUGCCUGGGAGACGUACCUCAUCUGUUUCUCUUCUGUCUGUAUAAUUACAUGACGUGCCCACCGUAUUCUACGCUGCACAUGAGUUGCUAAAACUCCCUCUUCCCAAAGCCCUUAGACAUGUGAGACUUCCCCCCGCACAGGUUGAUGGAGUUCUCGGUUCCCUCGCGCCUCACCCACCCAUUGAACAAACAGAAGCUGCUGGCCGACAGGGACGGUGGUCGGUUCAAACGUCUCCGUCCUCUUCUUCCCCCACGGCUGUUGCCCCUAGACAGCAGCAGAGCCACCGACCCCGCCACGAUGCACACGCCCAGCCUCCACCUCCUCGACUCCGUGGCGUUGACGCGGUCAUAGCUGACGUUGUCCGAGAUGGACACGACACCACCCACGAACUUCCUCGACUCCCCGACGACGACGUGCCUCACGUACCCACGCGGUGCCGACGCCGGCGACGACGGCCCCGUGGUCUCUAUACUGUUCACCGUAGACAUGGCGCUGCUGCGGAGCCAGUAGAGAUCGCCUCGACUCGGCUCGACUCGGCUCGCAGUAGGUCAGGUUCAGGUCAGAUCAUCAACGAGCUAAUGUCUUCCAAAUGUUCAUCGAGAAAGAGAGACAAAGAGAGAAUGAUGCAUGGAUGAUGAACACAAUGUGUGUUAUAUCCUAUCCUUCGUUGUUGUGAUUCACCGACCUCAUUUUAAGAAAACACGGAAGUUUAAGUCAUCCUAAUGAACACAGAUAAAGACACCCACCAUGGUGGUAAAAAGAACGUAAGACUAGACAGACGUGAAAGCCACGUAGAAAAAGGGGGGAUGAAAAUUAACUAUCGUACGUCACCUUCACGUCUCA